UGUAAGCGUAUACCAAAGUUGUUGCAGUUAAAACGCUCGUAGUCGGAAUUUGGCAGUUCCGGAUGUGUGCACGUCGUGUGCGCACUUCGCGGGGAUUGCUUUUGUGGUCUUGCGUAGGAUGAGGCACUUUUAUUAGUGAACGUCCUCACGCAGCCACUUUUUACUGUGAGAAAAUCAGAGUGCUCAAAGCAGGCAUUUGCCGUGAAUGUAUUAGUAUGGAAUAAUAGAAUAGGACUUGGUUCUAUUUUGUUGGUUUGUUGGGACUGAGUAAUGAUUAAGAGGGACAGUUGGGGGCAUUUGUAUUUCGGUGCUAGAGGUGAAAUUCUUAGAUUACCGAAAGACAAACUGCUGCGAAAGCGUCUGCCAAGGAUGUUUUCAUUGA
RNAcentral lists this ribosomal RNA (382 nucleotides) under uncultured eukaryote. Its description in RNAcentral is "partial 18S ribosomal RNA". It matches the Rfam family "Eukaryotic small subunit ribosomal RNA", at positions 592 to 976 of the family's 1831-position model. The record is from RNAcentral.